RNAcentral lists this ribosomal RNA (449 nucleotides) under uncultured bacterium. Its description in RNAcentral is "partial 16S ribosomal RNA". It matches the Rfam family "Bacterial small subunit ribosomal RNA", at positions 29 to 523 of the family's 1533-position model. The record is from RNAcentral.
AACGAACGCUGGCGGCAUGCCUAAUACAUGCAAGUCGAACGAACACUUCGGUGUUAGUGGCGCACGGGUGCGUAACGCGUGGGAAUCUACCCCUGGGUUCGGAAUAACGUCUGGAAACGGACGCUAAUACCGGAUGAUGACGUAAGUCCAAAGAUUUAUCGCCCAGGGAUGAGCCCGCGUAGGAUUAGCUAGUUGGUGAGGUAAAGGCUCACCAAGGCUACGAUCCUUAGCUGGUCUGAGAGGAUGAUCAGCCACACUGGGACUGAGACACGGCCCAGACUCCUACGGGAGGCAGCAGUAGGGAAUAUUGGACAAUGGGCGAAAGCCUGAUCCAGCAAUGCCGCGUGAGCGAUGAAGGCCUUAGGGUUGUAAAGCUCUUUUACCCGGGAUGAUAGUGACAGUACCGGGAGAAUAAGCCCCGGCUAACUCCGUGCCAGCCGCCGCAGUAA